CAAGGACAUCAACCACCCGAGCCACUGCCUGUUCACCCCGCUGUCAUCCAGAAGGCGAGGGUGCAGCAGCAUAUAUAGUCAACUAUCUGAUGUUCAUGUUCUGGGCUCUACUCCCUUUCCUGGCUGUUAUAUUGGUCUGGGCCUUUGCAUCUUACGCCUGUGGAUCAGGAAUACCAGAGGAAAGAACACUCAUCCUGGCCACUACCCGGUGCUAGAGGUCCUGGUUGUAACUGGAGCUACAGCCCCACUAUCCUUCCCUAACAGGUAGUUAUAAUGUGUGCCAGUAUAACAUGUACUAAUGCACUACCAGUGGUGUGUAAUAGCACACACAUACA
Oncorhynchus tshawytscha (Chinook salmon) is the source of this 335-nucleotide long non-coding RNA. NCBI's taxonomy places the organism in Eukaryota, Metazoa, Chordata, Actinopteri, Salmoniformes, Salmonidae. The record is from Ensembl.